Molecule: non-coding RNA, 98 nt
Organism: Tephrocybe rancida
Lineage: Eukaryota; Fungi; Basidiomycota; Agaricomycetes; Agaricales; Lyophyllaceae
Source: the annotation of a GenBank genome assembly
GGCGCUGUAGUGUAGUGCUAUCGCUCGACUCAGCUGAUUGACGAUUGGGUAAUCCAGAUAUCGUUCUCGCGACCCAGGUUCGAGCCCUGGCAGUGCCU